Long non-coding RNA from Schistocerca gregaria, 788 nucleotides. RefSeq lists it as uncharacterized. NCBI's taxonomy places the organism in Eukaryota, Metazoa, Arthropoda, Insecta, Orthoptera, Acrididae. The record is from RefSeq and is a predicted model, not a curated record. The transcript is spliced from 4 exons.
ACUUUUUCUCCUCCUACACUUUCAUUUAAGGGACGACUUGUUUUUUAGCCACACGAUUAUGUCUGAUAAAAGAGAGUCAUCCGAGAGCGCCGCGAAGGCGGACGUUCAAGGGGAUCAUACAAAGUCCGAUUCGUCGCCGGCACCUGUCGUCUCUGGGGACAAGGGUGCUGAUACGGCGGCUGUCGACGGCGCGUCCUCAGCCUCUAAGAAGUCGGUCGGAAAUGUUCAGAAUGGUGAAUCGGAGUCUUCUGUGUUAGAGGAAGCGCCUGACGUGUUGACUAACUCUGCCAUCCACAAGACUGGGAGGACGAUGAAGACGUCUUGUUGAACGUGCGUGCCAAGCUCUAUCGGUUCGACGUGGCGGGAAAGGAGUGGAAGGAGCGAGGAACAGGAUUUGCUCGAUUGCUGAAACACAGAGAGACAAAAAAAAUUCGCUUUUUGAUGCGCCGAGAUAAAACCUACAAAAUUUGUGGAAAUCACUAUGUUCUUCCGUUUAUGAAUCUCCAGCCCAAUGCGAACAACGAUCGUUCGUGGAUCUGGAACUGCCCUGUAGAUUUUUCCGAGGACUACAACAAGCCGAGCAAGGACAUAUAUGCCAUUCGUUUCCAGACGUUGGAAAACGCUCAAGAGUUCAAGAAGGUUUGGGAGAAUUCGCAGAAGGAGAUGAAGGAGCUUGAGGAGAAGAAGCAGAGCUAGGCGUUUUGUGCUUCGCCGCAUUUUGAUAGAGUCGGUCUAUUUCGGUGUGCAAAAUCUUUCUUAAUAGAGAGGGAGUUUUAGAUGUCAUUUGA